RNAcentral lists this long non-coding RNA (655 nucleotides) under Ananas comosus (pineapple). RNAcentral's name for it is "long non-coding RNA (ACOM_LNC026006)". Lineage: Eukaryota; Viridiplantae; Streptophyta; Magnoliopsida; Poales; Bromeliaceae. The record is from RNAcentral.
CUCCUCUUGGUAAUAUUUUAUAAUAUUACCUUUUUUUUUUUAUGUUACAAUAAUGAACAGAUUAUAUACUGCACAAUAAUCUUGGCAAGAUUGUCUUGAACCAAACGGACCCUUAUUAUCAGUAUAGAGUCCUUCAUACUAAUAAGUCGAUUUCGAUAAUAGAGCUUUCAAAUUGACGAUCUAUACUGUUAAAUAUAAUCUAAAAAUAUUUAAAAUUUUUAAAAAUUAAAUUUCAUAAUUUUUUAAAAUUAUAAUAAAGCUCAUCCAGUGGGCAUAAAAUAAAUGUCAAAAUCAAAUGACCUUCUAAAAUUAGAGGAUCGGAUUCUUCAAUUUAAGAUCGAAGUGAUUGACCUCUAUCUAUAUAGCGAAUAGAAUUUUCUAUCAAAAAUUCAAUAAAUUUUGAUUCUUUUACACUGUUAAACAAGCAAUUAUUCCAUGUCGGCCAUUAAAAAUUGUCAACUUUAAAAUCUUUUGAUCGAAAAAUAAAUAAUAUUAAAAAAUUAUGAAAUUUGAUUUUUAAAAAUUUCAAAUACUCUGAAUAAUAUUUAAUGGUAUGGAUCGUUGAUUCGGAAACGCUCUAUCAUCGAAAAUAACUUAUGAGUACGAAGACUAUCAUACUCCUCUUAUAAUAACGGGACUCUCUCUCCCCUCUAUA